This 207-nucleotide ribosomal RNA is filed under the name uncultured Latescibacterota bacterium. Its description in RNAcentral is "uncultured Latescibacteria bacterium partial 16S ribosomal RNA". It matches the Rfam family "Bacterial small subunit ribosomal RNA", at positions 568 to 774 of the family's 1533-position model. The record is from RNAcentral. Lineage: Bacteria; Pseudomonadati; Candidatus Latescibacterota.
CGUGUAGGCGGUCAGGUAAGUGGAAUGUGAAAUGCCCCGGCUCACCCGGGGACCGGCAUCCCAAACUGCCUGGCUUGAGUAUGGGAGAGGAUGGAGGAAUUCCUGGUGUAGCGGUGAGAUGCGUAGAUAUCAGGAGGAACACCGGUGGCGAAGGCGUCCAUCUGGCCCAAUACUGACGCUGAGGCGCGAAAGCUAGGGGAGCAAACG